GACGAACGCUGGCGGCGUGCCUAACACAUGCAAGUCGAACGGAGUUAAGUGCUUCGGUAUUUAACUUAGUGGCGAACGGGUGAGUAACGCGUGAGAAACCUGCCUUUCAGUGGGGGACAACAGUUGGAAACGACUGCUAAUACCGCAUGAUACUUUUUGGGGGCAUCCCUGAAAAGUCAAAGCUUUAUGUGCUGAAAGAUGGUCUCGCGUCUGAUUAGCUAGUUGGUGAGGUAACGGCCCACCAAGGCGACGAUCAGUAGCCGGACUGAGAGGUUGACCGGCCACAUUGGGACUGAGAUACGGCCCAG
Molecule: ribosomal RNA, 308 nt
Filed under: uncultured bacterium
Lineage: Bacteria
Description: bacterial SSU rRNA
Rfam family: Bacterial small subunit ribosomal RNA
Source: RNAcentral